GUUUAAUUCAGCUAUUGGGAAGAAUACUAUCAAGGGAGUGGAGGUGGUAGAGUUGAAUGGGCCACGGAUUGCUUCCACUUCACUGUUCCCUUUCCUUCCUUCUGUUGCCACCCCUUCCUUGAAGAUACUCUUACUGAUUUUUGAUGAACGAGGAGACUGCGCAGGAGGGCGGUCAACGGCAGUGACGGAGUGGUGAUGGGCAGUGUUGUUUGAAGGGGCUUGGAUCUGUUCCGGAAGCCGACAGCCCCCACCUACCCCAGCUGUGGCCAGACUGGAGCAAGACCCAGAGCUGGCCGAGCCCUGCCUGGACCUUCCCUGGCUGGUCUGUCUGCAUCUGUCUUCCUGUCCUUCUGUCUCUCUGGAAUUCCUGUCAGAACAACUCUGUCAACUGGAGAGGCGGCUUUAAUGGGUCACCCACCCAUCCAACAGACCCAACCUUUGCCACAGGACCCAGGAGCCUUGGAAGGGACAGUACCACGGAUGGCUCCCGUCAUGCUUCAGUGAGAGCUUCGGGGUCGAAAGGAAAAGGCUGAGAAGGGGAGAAGCAGAGACCAGAGGCACAGGGUCGCUGGAAUGCAUUCCAUCGCCCUCUGGUUCCUUGAGAGCUCAUAGCCUUGCUCCUGGGGCGAAGGUGGGAUCCUGUGUGGGAUGUUCACACACGUGCGUGGAGAACAUGGAUCUGAUUUAACUGCAGCAUUUAAUUGUUGAAUCAGAGGAAAACCAUCUACAAGUUCCUAAUAUGUGAAUUUUAUUUAACAAAAUUAAAAAGCAUUUGCCUUGUGAAAAUUCUAUUAAUAUUUAAAGCCAAAUAACAAACUGGGAAAGAUGUUUGCAAUAUUAAUGGCAGAGUUAAAAACCCAGUAUACACAAGGCCUUUAUGAAAUGAAAGGAGAGCAGCUCACAUAGACUAAUGGACAAAUGAAAAACUUGCAGAAAAGAAACAGUGUGAUCAGCAACGUGUAAAAAUGUUGCUAAUGUUAAUGACUGUGAAUUAAAAAUGACGUGUCAGUCGCGGCUUCGUGGUGCACGCUUGCGACUCAACAGGCAGAUGGAUGCAGGAGGACUGAGAGUGUGAGCCCAGGCUGGGCAACUUGAGACCCUGUAUCAGAGUGAAAGAUAAAAAGGGCAGCAUAUAGCUUGUGCUAGAGCUCCGGCCUAGCAUUUCUGGGGCCCUGGGUUCAAUCCCCAGUCACACACACACACACUUGUGUCUUACCUAAUGAUGAAGAUAAACAGAUUGGUUAAAGAAAAAUGACAGUACUAGUUAAGGGCUAUAGAAAUGCCUUGUUAAUG
Molecule: long non-coding RNA, 1293 nt
Filed under: Heterocephalus glaber (naked mole-rat)
Lineage: Eukaryota; Metazoa; Chordata; Mammalia; Rodentia; Bathyergidae
Description: lncRNA (ENSHGLG00000048485.1)
Source: RNAcentral